This 203-nucleotide ribosomal RNA is filed under the name uncultured bacterium. RNAcentral describes it as "partial 16S ribosomal RNA". It matches the Rfam family "Bacterial small subunit ribosomal RNA", at positions 130 to 334 of the family's 1533-position model. The record is from RNAcentral.
CGCUACUCUUGGACAGCCUUCUGAAAGGAAGAUUAAUACAAGAUGGCAUCAUGAGUCCGCAUGUUCACAUGAUUAAAGGUAUUCCGGUAGACGAUGGGGAUGCGUUCCAUUAGAUAGUAGGCGGGGUAACGGCCCACCUAGUCUUCGAUGGAUAGGGGUUCUGAGAGGAAGGUCCCCCACAUUGGAACUGAGACACGGUCCAA